GCAGAGUCGAUGAAUCAUCUGAAUCUAAAUUCAAAUGUGUUGUGGGAGAAAUUUGCUCAGUAUAUUCCUCAUCAUUAGAGCACCAAAUCAAUCAUUACUGCAAAUUGAUACUAUUUCCUUCUAGAAGUAAUUCAUCUAAUGCUUAUCAGUAUUAACAUUUCUAGCAGAGUGCUAAAAAAUCUGCUGUAAAAUUCUUUGACUAUUGUUGCGGCCAAUCCCCUAUCACCU
Molecule: long non-coding RNA, 228 nt
Filed under: Elaeis guineensis (African oil palm)
Lineage: Eukaryota; Viridiplantae; Streptophyta; Magnoliopsida; Arecales; Arecaceae
Description: long non-coding RNA (EGUI_LNC072946)
Source: RNAcentral